Molecule: long non-coding RNA, 326 nt
Filed under: Homo sapiens (human)
Lineage: Eukaryota; Metazoa; Chordata; Mammalia; Primates; Hominidae
Description: HSALNT0320259
Source: RNAcentral
ACACUUUUAGAUAAUUUAAAAAACAAUGCCAAUCAGAUAAAUCAAGACAUAACCACAAUCAUAGGUUAACACACACUAAAGGGCAAUGCCAUUAAAGGAGAAGAGGAACUUUGGAAACUGCUGUCUGAAAGGAAAGCAAAGCACUCUUCAUUAACAGCUAGUGGGCUCCUAAUUUCUGCCCAUGAAGGCAUGUUCAUACUGACAGAGCACCCCCUCAAGGGGAAGAACCAUCCGCGCUAAUUCUUGUUGUCCUCUUCUGAGCUAGUGUGCUCAUUGUUCAUACAAACUAGUGUGUCAACAUUAAAACAAAAAGGGAGUUGAAUCAA